This 446-nucleotide ribosomal RNA is filed under the name uncultured prokaryote. Its description in RNAcentral is "bacterial SSU rRNA". It matches the Rfam family "Bacterial small subunit ribosomal RNA", at positions 355 to 796 of the family's 1533-position model. The record is from RNAcentral.
UCGAGAAUCUUCCGCAAUGGACGAAAGUCUGACGGAGCGACACCGCGUGCAGGAUGAAGGCCUUCGGGUUGUAAACUGCUGUCACGCUAUAGGAAUUCCCUGUCGUUAAUAGCUGCAGGGUUGACCAAAGCGAGAGGAAGCACCGGCUAACUCCGUGCCAGCAGCCGCGGUAAGACGGAGGGUGCAAACGUUGUUCGGAAUCACUGGGCAUAAAGCGCACGUAGGCGGUUUGCUAAGUCUGAAGUGAAAUCCUCCGGCUCAACCGGAGAACUGCUUCGGAUACUGGCUGACUUGAGGACGGUUGGGGUGAGUGGAACUCCUGGUGGAGCGGUGAAAUGCGUAGAUAUCAGGAGGAACACCAGUGGCGAAAGCGGCUCACUGGACCGUAUCUGACGCUGAGGUGCGAAAGCUAGGGUAGCGAACGGGAUUAGAUACCCCCGUAGUCC